Molecule: long non-coding RNA, 3073 nt
Organism: Saccostrea cuccullata (small rock oyster)
Lineage: Eukaryota; Metazoa; Mollusca; Bivalvia; Ostreida; Ostreidae
Exons: 2
Source: RefSeq, a predicted model, not a curated record
UCAAUUAUUUAAAAACGUAGUUUAAAUGCAAAUUUUCAAUAAAUAUAUUUAAUAUAUGUAAAUCCGCCCACAAUAAUUAACGUGUACAUAUAUAAAUGCCUUGUAUAUAGAGAGAGACUGGAUCGCUGUUGCUUUUACUGUUAAUAGGAAAGUUAUAGCUCUUUAAAAAAAACAGCAAGUCCCUACAAUUCUUUUUUAUAUCAAUUAAUCGAGUGGCUUAAUUUUUUUUCUAUACAUCAAAGAAUAUAAAAUUGCUAAUAAAAGUAAACAGAUAAAUAUUACAGCAUUUUCUUGUAUGCCAAUAUUUUGUCUGUCAAGAACGCACAAUUGUUGAUGAGUAAAUUUUGAAAGUGAACAUGCCAAAAUAACCAAAAGGUGCACUGUGUUGCCUUUGGUAUAUCUGUGCGUGAGAAUGCUUGCUCGGAACAAGAUUCAAUAUAUUUUUAUCUUUCUAUAUACUUAGAGGCACGUAGGAUCAGGGGAUGGCGGAAGAGGGGCACCACCAUCCCCUCCUCAACACCCCUCCCCCCCCCCCCACAUAACAAAUGUAUGACUGACUGAAUUGAAUGACUGCCCCCCUUUUAAUUUGAGUAUAGUAAAUUAUACUAAUGAUGAUAACGUAUAAGAAAAAAAUUGGCACUUGAAGUAGUUUGACCCCUCCCCCCAACACACGAAAUUUCAAGUCUGGACAACUUCCUUCCCCCUUUUCUUUUUUGUUUGUCGAGUUUUUUUUCAGUUAGGUUGAAUUUUAAUUCUCUGGUUGGCCCCUUACUUUAAAAAAUUGAUGCUACGUCACUUACUUACAAGCCAUUAGAUUAUCAUUCUUAUCAGGAGAUGAAACUGUAAAAGAACCUUGACGGUCCAGUCUUUUCGCCUACACUCUAAAGAUGUACAUUUAUCGGGUUUUGGUUUAGAUGGAAAAAACUUGAAUUAUUGAGGAUAAUUUUUAUAAAUCUUUGAUCCUCAACAUGUGCCGAUCCAGGAAUUUUACCAGGAAGAUGGAGGAUGCUUUAAACUAACAAGAAAAAACAUUCAAAAAUUAAUGUCAAGAAAAAGAAACGAAAGUAGACAACGCAUAAGGCACGCCAAAUUCACAAAAAUGAGCAAAACCUAGUUUCACAAUUGAUAAACUUGGUUAAUCGACUGUAAACUUUAGUUUACAAACCGUGAACUAUAGUUAACGAUUCGUUAAGUAUAGUUUUCAUCUGUUAAACUAUAUAUAACGGUUGUUAACUAUAGUUUACGAAUGCUAAUCUAAGUUUAUCUGUCUGUAAUAAAACGUUAACAACAGAUUUUGUUGGUAAACAUAGAUUCACGUCUGUAAACUAUAAUUUACGAUCGUUAACUAUACAAAACAUUUCACCAUUGUCGAACACUUCCAUUGUUAACUUAUUGGACAGCCACAGGUAAGGUCUAGUUCUGCUUGGGUGACUACCUGGCGCUGUUCAUCAUGUUAGGCCAAAGAAAACCAGUUUUGGUUUUUCUUCUGUCUUUAUUAAUAGUAGGAAUCAUCGAGAGGUGUUUUAUAUCGAUAUAUAUGAACAUUAACUUUGUUUAGUCUUAUUUAUCCGCAUUGCGACAUUUAUACUACGCAUGCGUAAAAGUCAGUUCUACUAAAUUUUUUACAAUUUAUUCAUUUUACAACGCAACGACCACGGAUGAAGACUUACAUUUUAAUUUCGAAAAAAAAGACCUUCAGAAUCGGGUGUUUUGACGAUGCCAUUUAUCGAUUACAUCAAGAUGCCUCAGUUCAGGUUUUUACUGUGAAAUCCGGAUAUACGAGGGGCUAUCAAAAAGUUCGUGGACUAGCGCCAUUAAAUUAAAACCGCUUUAGGUACAUCAAUGACUUUUAUAUUAUUUAGUUAUCAUCAUCUUUUCUAUCUAUAGAAUAAACCACAAACUAUAAAUUUUAUUUUUAAAUAAAUUAGUAAAGUUUUUGUAAGCAAUGGUAUGUCCAGGCGGCGCAAUCUCGAAAACGACGUUUUUUCCGACUUAAGUGUAACUGAGAUAAACUACUUUGAUAUGAACAUUUGACAUCCAAAAAUCCCGUUAAUUCAGGUAUGUGUUGGGACACUAUUUUUCCAUAAAUUAUGGAAUUUUUACCUCAUUCUGGAAGUUCUAUGAAACUUUAUUGUAAAUUUUACAUGGAGUGUCCAAACAAAUAUUUCCUUGAAAAUGACGACAAAAGGGGGGAGAGGCUUCCUGUACCAACAUUCGAUAAAGUUUUGCCCCUGGAAAAAAACUGGUAUACAUCUAGGAAAUGUUUAAACUGGCUACGGAGAAAUAAUUUGUAUCCAGAUUACUUGUUUUUUAAAUGCCAAAAUAGAUUCAGAGUGAAAACUCCAAAGGGGAUGCAAAGUUAACGUCAAUAUGUAGUGAAGGUUUGAAAAAUCUCUCACGUCAAAUAAUGACGUUGAUUAUGUGUUUUAGCUGUAUUGAACUCCAAAAAACAAAUAUGCUGGAACAAUCAAGCGAGGAUCUUUCCCAAUGUAUAAAUCCAUUUGCAAUAAUAUAUGCAUUGAAUGCUGCUGUUCAUGACAUUGUAAAGUCAUGAAAACAAGAUGGGUUGAAGUCCUUACUCAACUCUAAGGAGUCUCGUCAAAAUAAGUGUGCGAGGUAGAGGAAGCGGACUUUGAAAAAUAGUAACAGUGUCGGACGUCAUGAAAAUAAUCGGCGACGGCGCCGGGUGAUCAUAUAAUGUCGUUUUUAUUUUAUAAUAAUUUGGUAAAUAAUGAACGUAUCAAGCUAAAAUUUUCAACAUUUCUUCAUUUUUUGUUGUUUUAUGUUCCUUAUAAAUUUUGUAAGCUCAGGCAAUAUAGUAUUAAUUUUACAGUCUCAGUCCACGAACUUUUUGAUAUCCCCUCGUAUAUUCUUAUGUUUCGGAAUUUGCAAGAAACAGUUCCCGUUAAAAGGUUUCGAACUCGGAAGGAUUUUACUCCAGCCACUUCUUAAAACGACAGGCACUCGCUCAAAGUAUGCAGGACUAGAUGGACAAAUGGUCAUAAAUCACCGGACGAAAUUACAGAUUCCGUUGGAAUUUCGUGAGCUAAAUUUUGUGCUAAAUGCGGAAAAA